RNAcentral lists this ribosomal RNA (479 nucleotides) under uncultured bacterium. Its description in RNAcentral is "bacterial SSU rRNA". It matches the Rfam family "Bacterial small subunit ribosomal RNA", at positions 21 to 518 of the family's 1533-position model. The record is from RNAcentral.
GGUUCAGGAUGAACGCUGGCGGCGUGCUUAAUACAUGCAAGUCGAACGGAGAUUGUAGCAAUACGAUUUAGUGGCGAACGGGUGAGUAACGCGUGGGUGACCUGCCCCGAAGUGCGGGAUAACAGUUCGAAAGGACUGCUAAUACCGGAUGUGGUCAUGAGGAUUAGAAGCUUGAUGACUAAAGGCGAAAGCCGCUUUGGGAGGGGCCUGCGUCCCAUCAGCUAGUUGGUAAGGUAAAGGCUUACCAAGGCGACGACGGGUAGGGGACCUGAGAGGGUGAUCCCCCACACUGGCACUGAAACACGGGCCAGACACCUACGGGUGGCAGCAGUAGGGAAUAUUGCACAAUGGGCGAAAGCCUGAAUGCAGCAACGCCGCGUGCGCGAUGAAGGCCUUCGGGUCGUAAAGCGCUUUUCGGGGAGACGAGGAAGGACGGUAUCCCCGGAAUAAGGCUCGGCUAACUACGUGCCAGCAGCAGC